GCUCCUUGGCAUGUGGGAUCUUCCCAGACCAGGGCUCGAACCCGUGUCCUCUGUAUUGGCAGGCGGAUUCUUAACCACUGCGCCACCAGGGAAGGCCCAAGGCCUGUUUUUAGUGUGGAUGCCUGCCACCUCUUUCCUCAUCAUAUCCUGGCCAUUAUCCCCUUGAUAGGAGGUGUGACUGGUGGUGUGGUGACCAGAGUCUGCAGUGGAUUUGAGCGGGGCCUCCUCUCUGCUCUGUGGUUGUCACAGCCCUGUUGGGGGCAGGUCCUGCUCCCUAGUUGUUGGAAUAGAGGCCCCCAGAUCCGUUUCUGAGCUGCCUUGUGGGGCAGGCAGGAUUGGAGCGCUCCUGCUGGAAGGGGAGCCACCCAGUAUCCCUCCACCAGAGCCAUCUACCAGGGAGUGUGCUCUGUGAUGCCAUCUGUCACCUGUUGUGCGGGCUCACAAAUGCGCUGUUGUCAACUGCCCUCGGCCCCGCCUGCACCGUGGGAACGCAGGCAGUUGGCCCUGGGGUCCCUCAGGUGCUGUGUGCACAAAACCACCAGCACAGAUCCACUGAGGUCAGGUACCAGGACCGGAGUAGUCGUGCGCCUGGACCUGCCGUGGGAGCCGCCCAGACCCUGGCCCUGCUUCUGUGCGUGCCCACAGAGCCCACAGCUGCGAAGGUCGGACCUGUCCCAGCCGCGGGAGCACCCUUUCCACUCGGACGUCCCGCACGCGCUGCUGAGUUGACAGAGUCGGCGGCAGUGGCGUGGAUCACACAGCCGCGAGGAGGGGGCUCUGUUUUCAGUCUCACCUCCGCGUGUGGGCAGCCCCCUGGCACUGGUGCUCCCAGAGCUCAUAAAGGCGGCACCCAGCAAGAGGCUGCCAUGGCGGGCCCCACCCUUCCCUCGCGGGCCCCUUCACAGCGGCGCUUCACCUCUUCUAGGAACUCUUCGUUCCUGGAUGCGGUCACCUCACCUCCUGUUGCUCCUCCUCUUCCGGGUCAUGGCCUGCGCUGGCUGCGUGUCUGUCGCCCUCCACGUGUCUGGGUUCUUCAGGGCUCGGAGCAGGCCUCCCCCCUCCUCUCGCCGUCCCCCCUACUGACUUGCCCUCCCACGGGUCUGAAUGGCAUCCACGCACAGGUUCUCUUUCCAGUUCAGACAUUUCUUCUGCGUUCUAGCCCUGUAUGUCUUUACCUGGACGUCUCAGGGGUGUUUUAAACUGGAUUCUCCCCUCUGCCUGUGCUUCCUGUCUUCCUCAUUUGAGUAAAUGAUACUGUUGCCCGCCCAGGUGUCUAGGUCAGGCAUGUGAACUGUCCUCUCCUCCCUCAAGCUCACUCCCCUCCCAUCCGGUGAGUGGUGAUGCUUGGACUCUGCUUCAUCCACUUGUCUCUGCUGCCUCCGCUGUGGUCCAGGCCAGCUUCAGCUCUUGCAUCCCUGCUCCACACCCUAGGCAGAGUGGCCACAGCAGACCUCUACCCAUUCCACUGCACCAUCUGGAACCUUCAGCUACUCUGGGUCUGCAUCUUCCUGGUAGGCUGGCCGUCCUCAGUUCCUCCAACGUGUGGCUCCCUCCCGACUCUCCAGGCCUCAGUUCCCAGAACCCUCCUCUGCCUACCCUGCUGAACCACGUCCCUUAGGUUAAUCUGUUCUCAGCACUCACGAGUGCGCCUUGUGUAAGUAUCACUGUGAUUGUACUUGCCACUUGUGUGACCAUUUCUUGCGUGUCUCAGAGACCAUACGGGAACUAGCACAGGGUUAAUCCUUAAUAGACGCUCCCAUCUUUAUCAGAUAGGUGGAAUUUUAAUUUCAUUUUAAAGCAGUGGGGUGAAAACCCUGUGUGAAAGAGUAAAGCCUAAAACGAGCGCUGCCUCCUUCGAGACGCACAGCCUUCAAGACCCGAGAAGACUUGAGUGGGCCGUGCUAGAGCCUCACGGUCGCUGCGCUGCCGGGGCCAGGGUGGGGCGGGCCGGGGGAGCUGAGCCGUGUGCGCCUCUCAUCCGCCCUGACCUCCUUCGUUCAGCAGCUGAAGCAUUGUCUUGGAACCACAAACGUUUGUAUCUGUGCGAAGUUUUUUAACACGUUAUUUCUUCUGUUAGAUAACGGUUAAGGCUUGGGGUGUGUCCCGGUAACUUUUACCCCACGGUGCCAAAUAAUUGCUAACGUGUGUAUUGAGUCCUUAAGUGUUCUAGGUGCUCUGAGUGUGUGUGGUUUUGUCCUCAUAAC
Molecule: long non-coding RNA, 2204 nt
Organism: Aethalodelphis obliquidens (Pacific white-sided dolphin)
Lineage: Eukaryota; Metazoa; Chordata; Mammalia; Artiodactyla; Delphinidae
Exons: 2
Source: RefSeq, a predicted model, not a curated record